GUCCAGUAAGUGGCGCUAAUGCACCAUAAGAAGAAGAAGAAGAAGAAGAAGAAGAAGAAGACCACCGCAUUCUGUUUGACAGCGUCGCCGGGAAGUGCAGGUGGCACAAAAGUUCCCGCAACAAUUUGAAAAUAGGAUAAAACAAAGGAUACCAGAAGCAUCCAGUUAUUGUUUCGUGAUUCAGAAAGUGUUUAAUAUCUGGAGCAGGGUCACUGAUACUCGCACUACGAGACUAAACACUGCAAGUAGCAACAGGCCCAUUGUUGAGAUAACACCAUGAAGUUGGUUUUAAGCACAGGAGUCCUUCUGAUUGUUCACCUGUUAAUCCUGCAGUGCCAGGGUUUUACCGUCAGAUACAUCUUAGUUAAUGAACCUGUGACCUUCCCAUGUAUCUGCUCUGGAAACCAACCAGUGGUUCUGUGGAUCCGCUUCAUUCCCAGUAGUGCUGUCAUUGCCAAGUGUGACAGCCAGACAUGUUGGAUUGAACAGUAUUUUCAGAAAAGGUUUGCAGUAUCAGGAGAUACCAGCAGCGGAAAUUACUCCAUAAGUAUCAGUUCAGUCGUCUACACUGAUGCCGGUUCCUACAGGUGCAGCUGUGAUGGACAUUCAGUUACUGAAGAAAAGCUUCAGGUGUAUGGUAAGUGUACCAUGAGUAAGUCUUAUUACCACGAUGGAAAUAACGUGACUCUGAACAUGUCUGUAGUAAAGUCUAUCCAGCCUGACUGGGACAGGUCUAGCUCUUACUGAAAAUCAAAGUAGAAGGCUAAAAAGAACAUGACAUUUGUUUUUGUCUGACAGUUCCAACAGAUGUUAAGCCUUUUGAGGGGGAGAAUGUCACCCUCCCCUGCUACGGAGACACUUGGCAAGGUGUUAAAGAUAUAAAAUGGAAGAAAGCUGGACGAACACUUCUGCUGUACUCAGGAAAAUAGAUCGGUGACUACUGAGGAAGCAUCACCAGGCAGAUUUAUGAUGUCAGCAGAAGGCUUCCUAGAUGGUGAUCUGUCCCUUCACAUCAGUUCAGUUCACCGGUCUGAUGCAAGAUUUUAUCAGUGUCUCAUCCAUGAUGAAUCUCAGGAAGGAGAACCACGAGCUGUUUCACUGAAAGAAGGUAAAUUCAUCCCUUAUUCAAACACUGUACUUGUACUGUUUGUACUGGUGUAGAGUCAGUCUCCAUUCAUGUCAAGACUAAACUGACACCUAAAUCCUUAUUAGUGUUCACAGUUUCUCAGUCUACAGCUUUCCUAAUAAUCAAAUUAUUUAACAGGGCUACAACUAUUAACCAACAACUGCAAUGAAGUUCCUGUACAGGUCACACUCUUUGGAUUAGUCCUUGAAAGCAUCAUUGGAGCGAGCGUCUACGUCGUGAAAAGACGUAGACCUCCUGCACAAUAAUCCAGAUGAUCAAAGCUUUCUUCAACCCAGCCAGUCCAGGAACAGUUUAUAGGGAGAUCAAUAGAUCGGGUACACCGCUGUCCUAAAAUGCUUUUAUCUAGAAAAGAAGCUGCUGAAUCAAAAUGUGAAACAUUUCCUUUAUUCUGUGCAAAUCUAUAGUACAUCAGCAUGGUGCAAUAGCAUUUGAAUUGCUCUUAAAUGCAGUAGGAUAAGGUUGUUAUAUUUUUUGAUAAAUAUAUAUUUUUUAAAAAGUUGACUUUUUACAAGUACCUUGAGUCUAAAUGGUUCAUUACAUAGAUCCUUUGAGUCAUAUACCAACCUGAAUAUCAGCUUAUUUCACAGUUUCAACACAAGAGAAUUCAAAAGGCUCUAUUACAGUCUACAUCCAGCAAUUUAAGAUAUACACCCAUCAUAAAUGUACUCAUCAUAUAAAGUCAAUAUAUGGGCAUGGAUAUGUACAAAAAUGAAAACCCCUAACUUGACUGGAUAUCACCAGGCUACUGAAUCUAAUCCAGUGGUUUUCAAACCAGGGGUCCUCACCAAUUUGGUGUGAAAGAUAAAUUCUCACUCAAGACAACCACCCACCCCUAAUGUAAAUGAUGUGAGAUGAUUAUAUCCCCUUUUUUAAAUUAAUAUUCCAAAAAUCUGUAUUUUUAAUGUGUUUUAAAGACAUCUUGCAAAAGGAGGGCCUCAGUCAAAUGUUAAUGCCAUUAACAUUUGACUGAAGGGGGCCUUGCACUGGAAAAAUUUGGGAACCCCUGAUCUAAUCAAUCAUGCCUACAGCUACAGUAGCCACAGUUGAAACAACUGCAUCGGCUACAGCUACAGUAGCCACAGUUGAAACAACUGCGGCUACAGCUACAGUAGCCACAGUUGAAACAACUGCGGCUACAGCUACAGUAGCCACAGUUGAAACAACUGCGGCUACAGCUACAGUAGCCACAGUUGAAACAACUGCAUCACUUCCACAGGUGUUUGCAUUUUUGAAUGAUGUUCCAUCCUUCCCCAGACUAGAUCUUCAUCCGGGCACAGCUAAACUCCAUAAGAUAUAUGCAGCUGGAGGAAGAUUUUAAAUGGACAAAAUUGAGACAAUUUGGAGAACUUUGAGAAAAUGAGAAAACGGCAUGGUCACUGCUGCAGUUUAUAAGGAAACUACACUGUUUCCAACUGGUGAUGGCAUGCCAGCAAAUUGGAUUUUAACAGCCUCAUUUACGACUUCAGUCAGAAAAACAAGGCCUGUGUGUGCACACAUGCAGUGUAACAUUCCUGGAACACCUUCACACCCCCGGGGGUCAAGCAGGGUGGCCACCUUAAAUCCACCAAUGGUCACACUGCUAUCCCUCCCAUUAAUCUGACUGCAACUUGACCACCAAUCAACACCUCAGCUUGAAUGUUAUAGCAAUCCAUGAUAGCCCUGAAACAAAGAGAACAUAUUAGAACUCGAAUCUAGACAUUGUCAGUCAGAAUACUCAAUUCAGUGCAUCAGAAAUCUUUGGCUUAAAUUCUCAGACAGUCAACAUGGUCGAUCUGCCGGGGAAAAAACUGGUCAUCACAAAGGCACAAACAUGCACAAGACUAAACUGGCUACAGAGCAUAGAAACAUACCUUGGGCACCUCCCCUUGAGCCCAUUCAAAGAUGCUUCAUGCCAUGAUCUCUGAAAGUUUGAUGAAACACGUUUUAGAAAAUUGCAUGCAGCUAUUGUCCAAAGUACAUGUUCCAAAUGGUGCAUCAGAAAGUUUGGCUUAAAUAUAGAUCAGUCAACAGUGUCGAUCUGCUGGGGAAAAAAGCUUAGUCAUCCUUUACACCAUUACAGUCUACCACAGCACUGUAGAUAGGACAGCCACACAUUGUUAACUGCAGACAUGAAACUCACCAGUUUUACAACCUUAGGGGGGACGGGGGGACACACCCAAAAAAGUGUUGGAACACCCACCCACUGGGCCUCAGGAUCUAGAAGUAAGGACAAGAAAAACAAGUGUUCAGGACAUGUUCUUGGAAAUUAGUUAAACUUGUUUUUACACAAAAUUAUAAUGGCUGACAGUUUGGCUUAAUUUCUUUUUUUUUUUAAGAAGUCAACAGAGUCAAUCUGCUGGGGAAAAAAGUUUAGUCAUCAUUCAUGCCAUUAAUCUAAUGCAGCCCUGCAAGAUUAUAGCAGUUAAAAAGGAAAUAAACAAGUGAAACACACCAGUUUUGCAUCCUUAGAAAGAAAACCAAGUCCUGGAACCAUCUGGAUGUCAGCGGAGCUGCAGGUUCUAGAGAGGGGGAGGGGGAUGUUAUGACAUGUUCUCAGAGGACAGUUAAACUUGUAUUUGUACACAGUGAUCAUGGCUCAGACAGUUUGGCUUAAAAUAAAAUAAGUCAACAGAGUCGAUCUGCUGGGGAAAAAAGUUUAGUCAUCAGAGCCAUGUUUGAUGAAAAUCUAAACAAAGAUCAGCAGGGAAUCUCACCAUGAUGUUCCCAAAUACCAUGAUGGUGCAGGCCUCACUCACUUAAUGUAAGAAAGGAUUACACUUCAUGUACACAAGUGGAUGUGCAUCUUCAUGUCAUCUAAUUCACCUUUCUGCUGUUGGCUGAUCAUACCUGAAACACAGGUUAUUUUACUUAAAACAAAAGUAACCACAAGCUCAAUUUAAAGGAUUUAAAAAAAAAAAAAAAAAAAAAAGCACUACAUUUUAGUGAAAAACCUACAAUUUUCCAUUGGAGUGAAUGGGGCUCAGGUCUUCUGCAGAAAAAGGGCGCGAGUCCCACCUCCUACGCUGGUAAUAACCACGUGACCAAGAGCCGGAAGUGAGGCUCUUGGCCUGCAUUAUCCUUCACGUGAAGCCAGCAAGACACAUUGGUGCCUAAAAUAAAAAGAUCAAUAAUAGUACUUCAGUUUCCUAAUCUUAAUGCUAUUUAUGCAAGCCCUUGAUGUAAUUUCUCAUUUGGCUCAGUUCUAUUUCAAACUACAUUAAUGUAAAUUAGAAAUAAGGGGAAAACCUGCUUAGUAUUUAGAAUAUUUUUUUGAUGCUAAAGUAACUUUGUAAUUCGGAUAAAUACGACUUUUCUACACAAAUAAUCCUUUACAUUAACACACCAAACAAGGCAGUAAGCGCCACGUGGCGAACAGCUCCAGCCUUUAAACAACGUGUUCCUCCAAAACAGUAUUCCUCAAUCUAACACGCUUUAAACCAUCAUAAACUACACACUGCUUGAACGGCUGGAUAACCAGUACACAAUUUCAAUAAUCACACCCAACCAUACUCAAGACGAAUUUCAUAUCGGAACAUAUAAUAAAGAGCUCACCUCAAUGCUGCAAACGGACUGGGACGGUUACGCGCU
Long non-coding RNA from Ictalurus punctatus (channel catfish), 4714 nucleotides. NCBI's taxonomy places the organism in Eukaryota, Metazoa, Chordata, Actinopteri, Siluriformes, Ictaluridae. The record is from Ensembl.